Molecule: transfer RNA, 72 nt
Filed under: Camelus bactrianus (Bactrian camel)
Lineage: Eukaryota; Metazoa; Chordata; Mammalia; Artiodactyla; Camelidae
Also listed under: 1 other name
Rfam family: tRNA
About the family: Transfer RNA (tRNA) molecules are approximately 80 nucleotides in length. Their secondary structure includes four short double-helical elements and three loops (D, anti-codon, and T loops).
Source: Rfam by way of RNAcentral
GAGGGUAUAGCUCAGUGGUCGAGCGUAUGCCUAGCACGCACAAGGUCCUGGGUUCAACCCUUAGUACCUCCA